UACGUAGGGUCCAAGCGUUGUUCGGAUUUACUGGGCGUAAAGGGCGCGUAGGCGGCGCGGUAAGUCACUUGUGAAAUCUCUGAGCUUAACUCAGAACGGCCAAGUGAUACUGCAGUGCUAGAGUGUGGAAGGGGCAAUCGGAAUUCUUGGUGUAGCGGUGAAAUGCGUGGACAUCAAGAGGAACACCUGAGGUGAAGACGGGUUGCUGGGCCAACACUGACGCUGAUGCGCGAAAGCCAGGGGAGCAGACGGG
RNAcentral lists this ribosomal RNA (253 nucleotides) under uncultured bacterium. RNAcentral's name for it is "partial 16S ribosomal RNA". It matches the Rfam family "Bacterial small subunit ribosomal RNA", at positions 524 to 776 of the family's 1533-position model. The record is from RNAcentral.